Molecule: non-coding RNA, 1564 nt
Organism: Camelina sativa (false flax)
Lineage: Eukaryota; Viridiplantae; Streptophyta; Magnoliopsida; Brassicales; Brassicaceae
Source: RefSeq, a predicted model, not a curated record
CAUUCCACGAAACUUCGCUCGGCCGUCUCCGUUGUGCGACCUUAAGCGUUGUCCUCCCUUCUUUAUUCUUUCAUCCUGGUUCACCUAAUGGAUUUGCCAGGAUGAAAUAAAACCUCAUUCCACGAAACUUCGCUCGGCCGUCUCCGUUGUGCGACCUGAAGCGUUGUUCCUCCCUUCACACCCUUUCACUGUCUUCCAUGUUUGUUGUAACGUCUUCCUGUGUAACGGUAAUUCAAGAUGUUCAAUGCUCCCUCUUUCAAUUCAAGCCCCACUACUCUUUCUUCAAUUGGCGAUUGUAGGGAUGGCAAAGCGUCGGGAAUUGCUCACAUAUGGAGAAGGCGUCCUUGUCCAAAAUCUCUUUUGAUGAUACCUCUGGUACUGUGAAAAAGCUGGAGGAAUGUUCAAGGAGAAACUGCAAAAACUUGGAGGGCUUGAUGCAGUCUAUGGAUUUUCAUGUUGUAAUGGAGGUGUGGACCUGUUUGUUUCAUUUUUAUCAUUAGCUUCUUUUAGUAAGAUAAGAACGACUAUCUUUGUUUGGCUAGGACGUCAAUAAUUUUUGUAUAGUAUCGUAGAUUGCUAGCUUUAUAAUUGUUCAAUUAUCUUUAGGAUCAUAUUUUAUCUUAAUUUCACGAUGUCCUUAAAUCGUUUAUAAUAUAUACCCCCUGAAAACUUUUGAGUUCCUAUGAUAGCUAUGAUUAGCUUGUCAGAUAUCAAGUCCAGCACAAGAGACAGGCUUUGCAAAGUAAAAGAAAUUUACGGUUGGUGGUAUUGCUUAUAUAUUCGUAUUAUAUACUUUUGUUAAGAAUAUUGCACAUUGAUGGUUUUGGUUGAUGAAUUGGAAUCUCUGAGUUCGAAGUUGGAGCUUUGAAGGGUCUUUUUUUGAAGACUGUUCUUAUUUUGCUGAAUCCUUUUUUUAAUUUUGAAACUUAUUAUCAGGUAACCCAGGAAUGGUCUCUCCUUCCAAUCGAAUAAGAAAGCACAACACCAUUGGUAAUCCUGGCGUGCUAACUGGUUCAUUUCAUCAUCUUCUAAGGGUACGUUUCCACUUGUGAUAUGUUUCCAAGGAGAAAGGAAGGCACUAUAAUUAGCCUGAGAUAAACAAGUUUCAGUGACUUUGAAUCUGUUCAUGAGAAGAAUGGCCUCAGACUCAAGCAGUGGUUGUAACCUUAGAAGUUUGAGAGUUUCUGGCAAGGAGAAUCUAACAGACUGGAAAGCUGUGGCAUCUACUAGGAUACAUCGGAUAUUAAGUUGCAGAGACUGCAAGCAUCACAAGAAUAUAAACCUCAAAUUCAAUUUUCACACUUUCUGGCUUCUUCUGACCAACGCCUCAGCAAGCUUUUAACAAAUUACCUCCAGAUAAGGACACCUGUUAAGCAUCUGCGUCAAGUUAGACUGAAACAGAGCGGGAGAAUCCAAGUCUGCCAUUAUCAUUAGUAGAUUACACAAUAGAAAAUCUAACAGGGAGGGAAAAAAAACUAAAAUAAUUUCCCCAUUACGUUUAACUAAAUAAAACGCUCUUUCAAAUAAUAAUAAAAAUUCAUAGGAGUGGCUAUUUUCCCUACUA